RNAcentral lists this transfer RNA (69 nucleotides) under Ictidomys tridecemlineatus (thirteen-lined ground squirrel). RNAcentral describes it as "Spermophilus tridecemlineatus (thirteen-lined ground squirrel) tRNA". It matches the Rfam family "tRNA". From Rfam's summary of the family: Transfer RNA (tRNA) molecules are approximately 80 nucleotides in length. Their secondary structure includes four short double-helical elements and three loops (D, anti-codon, and T loops). Lineage: Eukaryota; Metazoa; Chordata; Mammalia; Rodentia; Sciuridae. The record is from Rfam by way of RNAcentral.
GGAGUUGUGGCUCAGUGGUAGAGCACUCAUCUGGCAUGUGUGAGUCACUGGGUUCAAUCCUCAGCACCA